UUUUUUUAUUAUACCACUUCUUUGUUUAAAUCUGAAUGCCCAAACCCGUCCUCGCGACCUUCAUCACCGACCCGUCCCCGUCUCCGUCCCCGUCCCCGGUCGCGGGUUUCAGUUUUCUCCCAGCCCUGUCCCCAUCGGGUUUUUCAUCCCCGUCAGGGAACCCAAACCCACUAGCAUUUCAGCACCAAACCAAAGUUGCAGGAGCAACUUGAAUGAAAAACAACCAGUUUCAGCACCAAGAUAAGACAAAACAUUAUAAUUUAGGCACCAUUUCACACAUAUAACAAUAUCAUAUACUAGUUCUCACAUAUA
This 312-nucleotide long non-coding RNA is filed under the name Brachypodium distachyon (stiff brome). RNAcentral's name for it is "long non-coding RNA (BDIS_LNC002880)". The record is from RNAcentral. Lineage: Eukaryota; Viridiplantae; Streptophyta; Magnoliopsida; Poales; Poaceae.